This 369-nucleotide long non-coding RNA is filed under the name Daucus carota (carrot). RNAcentral's name for it is "long non-coding RNA (DCAR_LNC000733)". The record is from RNAcentral. Lineage: Eukaryota; Viridiplantae; Streptophyta; Magnoliopsida; Apiales; Apiaceae.
UUAGAGCAAGUCCAAUGGUGAUGUUAAAAUAGAUGUAGCUAUUGUUAUAAUUUGAAACCAAAAAGUGAUUUUUGGUGCUAAAAUAGAACUUAUGGUCCAAUGGUAAAUGCAAAAUAGCACCAAACAUAUCCAAAUAAAGCUAUAUUCUAAUUACAUAAUCUUUAAGUACAUAACUAUAUUUGUCACUAUUACUUUAUUAAUACAUUUUGUCACUUGCAUGCUUAUGUGGCAAUUAUAGCACCAUCUAUAGUUGGUUCUAUAUAUAGAACCAAGUAUAGCAUUUUGCUAUUUUACAUUCAAGUUUAGCAUCCCAUUGGUGUUGAAUUUUUUGCUUGGAUGCUAUAUUAUAGCAAUAGCACCUACUUUAAC